This 363-nucleotide long non-coding RNA is filed under the name Callithrix jacchus (white-tufted-ear marmoset). Its description in RNAcentral is "lncRNA (ENSCJAG00000084953.1)". Lineage: Eukaryota; Metazoa; Chordata; Mammalia; Primates; Cebidae. The record is from RNAcentral.
UUUGGAUUGUUUCAAUUUGGAAACUAUUACAAAUAAAACUGUUCUGAAUAUUUGUGUACAGGUCACUGCAUGAACAUCUGUACCAAUUCUCAGGUACAUUUGGAUACUAAAUCUUUCAUAAUUACUGAAGGAACAUGACUGGUCCUAAAAUGCAAGUGGGCAUAAACAGGGAACGAAAUGACAGGUGAGACUACAUUUUAAGUGAUUUAUUAUUAUUUCCCAAUUAAAAUCAAAGCAACAGGAUGGGUCAAGUAAUUCAAUAUGCACUUUAAUUAGCAAGAAAAAUAUUAAUUAAGCUUGACUAUUAAAAUGACUUUUAUGUUAUUUUAAUAAUAACUAGUAAUAACUUUGCAAGAGGCAAAU